This 85-nucleotide transfer RNA is filed under the name Candidatus Caldarchaeum subterraneum. Its description in RNAcentral is "Candidatus Caldiarchaeum subterraneum (hot springs metagenome) tRNA-Leu". It matches the Rfam family "tRNA". From Rfam's summary of the family: Transfer RNA (tRNA) molecules are approximately 80 nucleotides in length. The record is from RNAcentral. Lineage: Archaea; Thermoproteati; Nitrososphaerota; Candidatus Caldarchaeales; Candidatus Caldarchaeaceae. RNAcentral also lists the same sequence under 1 other name.
GCGGGGGUUGCCAAGCCUGGUCAAAGGCGCAGGGCUUAGGACCCUGUCCCGAAGGGGUUCGUGGGUUCAAAUCCCACCCCCCGCA